CGGCGUGCCUAACACAUGCAAGUCGAGCGCGAACGAUUCCUUCGGGGAUCUAGUAGAGCGGCGAACGGGUGGGUAACGCGUGGGUAAUCUGCCCUCUGGUGGGGAAUAACCUCGGGAAACCGUGGCUAAUGCCGCAUGAGCUCCCGGGUUCUUCGGAAAGCCGGUAGGAAAGCAUGCCUCUGCUUCAAGCAUGCGCCAGGGGAGGAGCCCGCGUCCCAU
RNAcentral lists this ribosomal RNA (219 nucleotides) under uncultured bacterium. RNAcentral's name for it is "partial 16S ribosomal RNA". It matches the Rfam family "Bacterial small subunit ribosomal RNA", at positions 40 to 241 of the family's 1533-position model. The record is from RNAcentral.